RNAcentral lists this ribosomal RNA (478 nucleotides) under uncultured bacterium. Its description in RNAcentral is "bacterial SSU rRNA". It matches the Rfam family "Bacterial small subunit ribosomal RNA", at positions 28 to 507 of the family's 1533-position model. The record is from RNAcentral.
GAUGAACGCUAGCGGCAGGCCUAACACAUGCAAGUCGAGGGGUAGUUACUUUCGGGUAAUGAGACCGGCGCACGGGUGCGUAACGCGUAUGCAAUCUACCUUUUACAGGGGAAUAGCCCAGAGAAAUUUGGAUUAAUGCCCCAUAGUAUAAUUGAAUCGCAUGGUUUAAUUAUUAAAGUUCCAACGGUACAAGAUGAGCAUGCGUCCCAUUAGUUAGUUGGUAAGGUAACGGCUUACCAAGACAAUGAUGGGUAGGGGUCCUGAGAGGGAGAUCCCCCACACUGGUACUGAGACACGGACCCGACUCCUACGGGAGGCAGCAGUAAGGAUAUUGGACAAUGGUCGGAAGACUGAUCCAGCCAUCCCGCGUGCAGGAUGACUGCCCUAUGGGUUGUAAACUGCUUUUAUAUGGGAAGAAUAGCAUAGAUUCAUCUGUGUAUGACGGUACCAUAUGAAUAAGCACCGGCUAAACUCCGUG